RNAcentral lists this ribosomal RNA (784 nucleotides) under uncultured bacterium. RNAcentral describes it as "partial 16S ribosomal RNA". The record is from RNAcentral.
CAAGUAUACUUGCUGACGUCUGGCAUUCAUCGUUUACGGUGUGGACUACCAGGGUAUCUAAUCCUGUUUGCUCCCCACACUUUCGUACCUCAGCGUCAGUAUCGAGCCAGUAAGCCGCCUUCGCCACUGGUGUUCCUCCGAAUAUCUACGAAUUUCACCUCUACACUCGGAAUUCCACUUACCUCUCUCGAACUCAAGACUAGCAGUAUUAAAGGCAGUUCCAGGGUUGAGCCCUGGGAUUUCACCUCUAACUUACUAAUCCGCCUACGUACGCUUUACGCCCAGUAAUUCCGAACAACGCUAACCCCCUCCGUAUUACCGCGGCUGCUGGCACGGAGUUAGCCGGGGUUUCUUUACCAGAUACUGUCAUUAUCAUCUCUGGCGAAAGUGCUUUACGACCCUAAGGCCUUCAUCACACACGCGGCAUGGCUAGAUCAGGGUUUCCCCCAUUGUCUAAGAUUCCCUACUGCUGCCUCCCGUAGGAGUCUGGGCCGUGUCUCAGUCCCAGUGUGGCUGAUCAUCCUCUCAAACCAGCUAUAGAUCGUAGGCUUGGUAGGCCAUUACCCCACCAACUACCUAAUCUAACGCGGGCUAAUCCUUCUCCGAUAAAUCUUUCCCCCGAAGGGCGUAUAAGGUAUUACUCUCAGUUUCCCGAGGCUAUUCCUUAGAGAAGGGCAUAUUCCCACGCGUUACUCACCCGUCCGCCGCUCACCCCGAAGGGCGCGCUCGACUUGCAUGUAUUAGGCCUGCCGCCAGCGUUCGUUCUGAGCCAGGAUCAAACUCU